Long non-coding RNA from Acinonyx jubatus (cheetah), 15297 nucleotides. RefSeq lists it as uncharacterized. The transcript has 3 exons. NCBI's taxonomy places the organism in Eukaryota, Metazoa, Chordata, Mammalia, Carnivora, Felidae. The record is from RefSeq and is a predicted model, not a curated record.
UUUUAGGACCAGCCUGUGAUAGUAGGAUGAAGUGGGGAGAAUAAAUUCCACCUCCACCUGAGGAACAGCAGGUAGGUAGUGGAGGCAUUUUUAGAGGUCAUCUUUGGAGAUUAGCUACCUCACUUGCUGAUUAGUGGUCUUGGCCUUAAUUGCUGUGGGAUCUAAAGGAUAGAUGACUCUCUGAUUUAGGUGACUGAGGAAAUUUUCAAAGAUUAGCUAAAACUUCUUCCUGAGUCAAAAAGGCUGAGCACAGAGGAAACAGUAGAAGAUAGUAGGGUGGGGGACAGUGGGGUGGAUUAUGGGAUUCUCCAUAGGAAGAAUAGCAUAUGCAAAAGUACACAGGUGAGAAAACAAAGUCAUUAGAUUAAUAAGAGUUUAAUAAAAAAUAUGAUCCAAAAUAAUGGUCAUCAUAAAGCCAUCAAUAGUGGCUUUCAUAUCCUGGAUCAAUACUAUUUCAAUUACUGUAGAAAGAACUAGUAAAAAUGCAUAGGAAGUAGAUGUUUUUAAAAGGCUGAUGCAAUUCUAAAUAGGGAGCAUAUCAUUUACUAACAGCAGACUCUUUAAAACUGAACCAGUAAUGGGCUUAGAUAUAAGACGGUGAAAUUUAUUUGGAAGAAUUUUCUUUUGGUUUCCAUCAUAUCUGAGAUUCUAUUCAGGUAGCUGGGCAAUGUCAGAGUAGUAAAGCAAGCUACUUGAAUAUAGGUCAAGUAAGAAAAGACAGGUGUGGACAUGGCUUGGGAGUUUUGCUUCCUGGAUAAUCCAGUUUGCAUCUUCAUAGCAACUCAGCUUAUAUUCGUCAGCACUAGGUGAAAACUGAUAGCUCAGAGAGUGAACAGUACAAAUGUCCUGAGAACAAAUAAGUCUCAACCUUAGGAUAUGUAUGCUGUGAGAUAAGAGUCUACUGUAAAUUCUUAAUAAGUCAAAUCAUUAUAACUGACCCCACUUGGAAAUUUAAAUAACAAAGUCAACUCCAUGUAUAUAAUAUAUAAUUCAUCUAUUUCUUUAACACCUUUAUAGAUUAGCUGCUAUGUGAAUAGCUCAUUACAAAUGAUGUAUAAACUAAUUUUUAGGAAGUUAUUAAUCUGGAACUUAUAUUCCUGUUUAUUCCAUGCAUUGGCACUAUUUCUGUGCUCUAGAUGAAUAUAAAUGUCUUCUACAAGAUAUUCCUAAUAUCAUCUGGAGAAACAGGCAUUUCCACUGACCAAGUCCUUUUUUUGCUCCCCAGAUUCUUUGAUUAUUAAUGUUAUGCUGAAGUUUUCAUUAUCCUCAUUCAUUCAUUUAGCAGACAUUCAUUGAGUUUUAUCUAUGAGUUAGACCCAGCGAAAGUGACUUUUGAACUGUGACCUAUAGUAUGAAAAGGAGUCAGUCUUGAGCUGAGCUGGUAAGAGAGAGUUCCAACACAAAGCACAAAGGCCCCAAAGAAGAAAUAAACCUAAUGUAUACAAGGAACAGAAAGAAAGCCUUACAGCAUGCUGAAGGAGAUGUGAGUUAGUUCACAUAAUGUGUGCCCUCUGAAGCUAUAGCGAGGAUUCUGAUUUUUUUUUUUUUUUUGAAAUUUAUUCUUUCUGAGUGGGAAGAGAGGGUACAUUGGAUUGAUCUGAGCAGGGAAGUGAUGUGAUCACAAUUUACCUUUUAUAGGGAUCUUUCUGAUUCUGGGUAGAGGAGAAACUAACGGGAACAUGGGUCAACAAGAUACCUGGAAGUUAUUACAAUAGUCCACAAUGAUGAGGGCAAUCUGGAUUAGGUACUACUGGUGUAAUUGCUGAGAAAUUAGAUGCUCUCUGCCCCUCACUCUUUUGUCAAUCCCAUCCUUGCUGUCCCACAUAUUCCUCCUUUCUUCUCAUUUCAGUGCAACAGUUGGCGAGUGCCUAUCUUGGACCUCAUAGCUCUUCACUUCUUUUGCCUCAAGCCCUCUUUUCUUUUCUACUUUACUUCUCUUGUUUCUAGCCCAUUUACCUCUCCGAUCUCUUGUUUUUUUCCAUCCCACUGCUUUCUGAUUUUUCCCUUUUUUCUCUCACUCUUCGUUUUUCUAUUUAUAGGCUUUAUAAAGGGCCUUCUUAUUCCCAUUCAUUGAUAGAUUAUCCUUCACUCCCUUGAGGAGGCACAUGAAGGGGCCAGUUUUUUCUAAUUUACCCAGCCUAGGAAAUUUAAAAUAUUCUGAUCAGGUAUAUCUUAUACAGGAGCCUAUAGAAUUAGGUCUCAUUGUAUCCUUGACUGGCACUGGAAAAGUCUCAAACUGUUGUGGCUCAUCAGAAGCUAUCAAUAAACAUGCAUGUCUUGAAACUGGAAGUAUCUGCAAUGUUAACUUAGUUUUGAUUUGGUUGUGCUUAAGAGUCUGGCAUGAUGCUGGGAAUGAGUGAGUGAAUCAGUGAAUGAAUGAAUGGAAAUAGAAACGGUGCAGAAGAGAGAAGGUUUUCUGGUCCACACAAACUGAUAGCUGUCUAUCCCUGCAUAUAUAGCUGAAAAAAAUUAUACCUUAAUAGUGGCUUUCAUAUCCUGGAUCAAUGCUUGGGACCUUGGUAGAUAAGUGUGCUAGGCAUUGUACCUUGCUCCUGAAACAAAAUGAUGUUCUUUCAAGGUCAACAUAUUCCAGACUUGGUUUCCAACUAUCUCUAUGUUUGUAUUUAUUGCUAUAAUAGUAGACCACUCUUGUUAUUCCUGUUCUUGAUGUUCAGAGGUAGUGACUCAGGAGCCAGUCAGAUCUCCCACUAAUAGUAAUAGAGUUGAUAGCAGAAGUUGGAGACCCACUAAGAGAGCAGAACCAGAGUAAAUACUGCAGUUGAGGUCUUGGAACUGGGCAUUUCUUGGGAAUGUCCACUGUCCAAAUUUCUGUGGCUAAUUCUGUCAUACAAAUCAUGUUUUUAGCUUCAUUAAAAUACUUUAAAGGCACAUAAUACUUAAUCAUAGGAAUUGGCAGUAGGGAAGUAUUUUACAUGAUGAGUAAAGUGCCACUGAUUGAUAGAAGAGUACAGAGUGCCUCGUGCUGAUGGGAGCACCCUGAUACUUCUGUGUGUCUAGGAUGGGGCUGUGGUUUGAUGCACUGGUUCUUAUUUUGACAAAGCCCCCAUGAGAUUAAUUAAUCGAAAUGUACAGUUUAACCUAUGUGCACACAUAGGUAAGGGUGAUCUGUUUUUGUAGGUGAAGGAACUCAGCAGUAUAUCAAUUAAAUUAAUUAAAUUUUAUUUUAUCUUUAGAUUCUAGGAUUUGAAGAGAAUCUAAGAUAAAAAAAAACGAUGCAGGGUCUGUGCAGAAAGAGGGGACAUGUGACUUGGGGAGAGGAGAGCCUUUGACCCAGACUUCUAUUAAUAAAUAGUUUCCCAUUUAUAUUGCUAUUUUUCAACUAACGUUAUAUAGAUGGCUACAGAAAUACAAUGUAAGGAGAAGGGAUGUGUCCUUUUAUGAAAACGUGCAUCCCCAAUGAACUGUUCACUGCUUUACAUAUUUAUCAAUUCAUCUUCUCCCUAGCCUCCUAUUGUAAAAGAAAAUGUCCACAGUUAGUUGCUAUGGAAUUGAACUAGUUUUGAGUUGCAGCUUUUUAAAAACCUUUUUUAAACCUUGGUAAAACAUUGUUAGUAGGCAAUUGGUAUCACUGUCUACUUAAGUUUUAAGAUGUGGCUCUUAAUAAACCAUUCUUUUGUAAUAUGUGGAGAUAGGGAGGGAGGGACAAACAAACCUAGUAAGAGCUUCUGCAGCAUUGCUAAACUCAGGUUGAAGAAGGUUACAGUUAAGUACCUUGCCAGAUAUUUUAGCCAGUGAGUCUGUUGUACCACAAAAUUGGGAUUGCUAGGAAUUCUUCUCAAAAACACUUAUAAUUUUAAGAAAUGUACUUUAAGUUUUGAUUUGUUUUGCAUAAGUAAACCACAUGCUAACACACCACUCACUUUUAGAGCACUAUCCAAACAUCACAAAGUCAGUUCCAAAGUCCAGACAAUUUCCAGUCCCUCUGUCAGAAAGCAAAUAACAACAAAAGACUUAUUCCAAACAUAAGUCAGCCAGAACCUUGGAGAACCUUCACAGUAACUUGCUUUGCACAAUAACUUCAGGAAAUUUUGUGAAUAACCCACAGUGGGGAGCACACAAUCCCAUAAUACUCAGAACAUAUUGCCCAAGUUAUACAUGAUGACAAGGUAAACAUUUGCUUAACAACUCUUUCAAAGGGGGAAGUGGUAUGAAAACCAAGGGAUACUCUCCCAUCUUUGAAACCCCAAAUUAGCUAUAGUCUUGGCUGUACCCAGCAGCCUUAGGUCUGAGCACUGCAAAUUAUAUCAUCUUUUGGUUCAAAGAAAACAGAAAUUUAACUUUUCUCCCAAAAUGCAUCUAAUUGUUAACCUGUUGGAAAAAAGGUAGGAAUAGGUAUGCAUAGAUGAUAGGUGCUUGUUUCUGGUUCUUUUGUAUUUCUUGGUGUGUAAGCAUUUGUCAGCGGGUUGCUAGUGAUUCUAUACCUAGAUACAACUCUUAUGUAUCCAUUUAGUACUUUCCUGCUGAAGAGCACAAGAUGAAUGAUCACUUGUGGAGUUUUCCAGCAUGGAUACAGUUCACAGUCAUUGUUAUGAUGCCAUAAAACCAUCGUACACAAACUUCACUUUAGUGGUUUUACACUUAGCUAUAACCCCACAUGCAAGGACCAUUAAAGUUAAAAUGUCCCUUGAGUUUCUUUCUAACAUUAAAUUUACUUCAAUUGCUAUAGAUGAAAACAAAGCAACAAAAAUGUACUGGUCUUAAACACUAUCCUUGAAUAAAAUAAAGCUAUAAUGAUGAGAUAUUUUAUCAUAGUGUUUAAGGAUUCCUUGCCGUGAUAUAUUGCACAAUGCACAUUGGGUGCAUAAAACAGGGAAUAGUAAUUAAUUUUACCUUGGAAGUAUGAUCCUAAAGUCCAGAAGAAGGUCAGAGUUGUGUGUGUACAAAAUCCAUAGAGUGUGGAAUGUCAGAAAUAUUUAUGUGACAAUUUGAAAAUAUUAUUCCUGAUUCUCAUAAUUACACUCCUCAGAGGAAAAGGGAAUCUGUAUAAGUCUGAAUAAAUAAACAACAGGAGAGGUUAGCUACUAACAUUAUAAAUGGACACACAUUGUAUACAGAAACUUAAAGAAGUUGGUUUUAUAUUAAGUGCAGAAGAAACAUCUUACAUUAUUUUGUUGUAUCUCAAUGAAAAAAAUUUUUUCUUUGAAAAAUAAUUAGCACUUAAGUGUUUGGCUUUUUAUGCUGGUUGCACAUCCCAUGUUAACUCUUACUGAUAUAAAAAAAUAAAAUUAAUGCUGAAAAUGAAUCUGUUAUAGUAACAAAUCCACUCAAGCUCAAGAGCACCAGUUUUGUACCAACUCCUCUCUGUGCGGAACAUGGAUUAUACAAGUAAAAGCCUCUGUCUCCGAGGAGCCCCAAAUGCAUGAAACUCACAGUGCAGGUUCCCACAAUUCCAGGAAACAGUUUUUUUUGUUGGAAAACUUUAAGAUUAAAUCUUUUUUUAAAAAAAAUAUUUAUUUAUUUUUGAGAGAGAGUGUGAGCAGGGGAGGGGCAGAGAGAGAGGGAGACACAAUCUGAAGCAGGUUCCAGGUUCUGAGCUGCCAGCACAGAGCCUGAUGCGGGGCUCGGACUCACAGACUGCAAGAUCAUGACCUGAGCCAAAGUCAGACGCUUAACCAACUGAGCCACCCAGGUGCUCCUAAGAUUAAAUCUUAAACUAUGAGGUGGAGACCUUACCUUUCUCUUACAGUGUGGUCCUUCAUGGAAAAUGAGUAAGUUUAUUGGAAGAACACUAGAGGGGAUUUUGCUAAUACUUGAGACUGAGAUCCACAUAAUACAUGCUUUGGAAGUAAAAGAAAGAGACUGGCCCCGAGUGCCGUCAGGUUGGCCUUUUAGGUGAAUUUAAUGCUCUUGAUUUUUAUUAUGCUGCUCUGCUUCCUCUGAAACCUACACUGGUUUAUUCCAACCAAUGUGGUCUGAAUUCCAUCCAACAUUUUAGUAAUAUUUAUCAGCGUUAAACUCAGUAUUGCUUGAUAAGUCAAAUUUGUUGUAAAUCACUUCCAGUUGUAUAAAUACGUUAUUUACUCAUAAUUGGUAAAAACUCCAUGCUGUCAUUGAGUCGACAUAUUCAUGUAAUUACCUAGGCUGGGAAUCUGUUUAAGUGUGAUUAUUCUGGAGAAAGAAAAAUCAAAAGAAUUAAAGUAUAAUUCUGUGAAGACUAUCAUCUUUGACAGUUAUAAAAGUAGACAUUUUUCAAAAAUGUGUUUCAUUUUACUGUAACUUAAAAAAAAUUUCACUUUCUUUUUAUAAAGUCCCUAUAAAUUGUCCAAAGUUUGGAUGGAUGUAUUUAAAUAUUUUAGUCAAAGCUUGGCAGCUGAUGAACUAAACCUAGUUUUAUUACCCAUUCCAAAUGACCCACCCUUUAGAUUGAGUUCAUGGGUUAUGCCACCAACCCCUAAAGUAACUGGUGAAAUGACUCAUCAUCAGGGGAAAGGCUAUGGCACAACUCCAGUUUGGAACAGAGACUGGCAGUUGAUUUAAGCUUGGGAAUAGAGGCAGAGAAGGAGCCAAAGUUUAAGCUGAAGCUGGAAUAAGGCUGUUCUAGUACUGAAACACAUCCUCCAGAUUCACUGGCUGUCCUCAAAUUGUGUAUUGAAUUCAAAAGUAAUGAGACCUCAGAUCUGGUACUUAUUUAAUGCUGAAACAUACUUAUGAUCUUGGUGAUGAGCAAUGGCCCUGCUGUUGUCUCUAAUGUUGGUCAUGGCAGCAGGUUGCUUUAGAUUGGGCUGUCACAAAGGUCAUGGAAAGAACUGAUGAAAAAGUUGGCAAAUUCUACUCUGGCAUGUGAAUCUGGUCUCAGGUGUCCCCUUGAGGACAUGAGCAGUGGGCACCCACUGUCUUAAAUCUACCUGAUCACAUAAUGCAUACUAGGUACAAAAUAUUUUGUUAAUAAAUAUUUAUUAAGCUCCUGUUAUGCACCAAGUAUGGUGCACUUUGUAUACAGGUAUAUAUAUAGUAGUGGCCUCCACAGACAUGAUGCCUGUAUCAUGAAUUUGAAGUAUAGGGUUUGUUGGAUUUAUUAAUUUCCUAAACUUACUUUUGUUUUUUUAGUUUGUUCUGACAUAAUGAUAACAAUAACAUCGAAACCUUUAAGAGUCACUGUUAGUAGAUCUAGAUAUUAAUUCUCUAUAUGUUCUCUUAGGACUUUUUAGUAUCAUUUAAGUCACUUCUGUUGCUGGCAGCACCACCCUUAGGGGUCUCACACUUCCUUAGAGAUCUGGUUGAUGACUAGAUAUCCCAAACACACAGGUACAAUUUAUUAAAGUACAUGUGAGCACCACUGUUACUCAUGAUUCAGUGUCCAGCUCUGAUAGAGCUUAAAUAUCCUGCACCUGAAACCUUACGAACUUUGAACAUCCAGAACAUCCACUGUCCAGACUAUCUUUCAGGCCACAGGGAGGAGCUUUUCCACUCCCCCCCAUCCCCUGUGUUCCUGAAACAAAAGGUGACUGAAUCUAAAUGUGGUGAGUUUGUGGAUUGUACUUCUAUUCUUUGGAGAUGGAUAUGGCUUCAUUUGUGUGGGAAAGGUUUUUUUCUCCAGCUUUAUUGAGCUAUAACUGACAUAUAAUAUUUAUAAGGUAUACAGUGUAUACCAUAAGUGAUGAACUUAUAUAUUGCAUUAUGAUUAUCACAGUAGCAUUAGCUAAUACCUCUAUCUCAUAUACAAGUGGAAAAAGCAUUUAGGUAAUUAGAUAAAUUAACUUCUUAAAUCUUUUCUUAGAAGGCAUGAAUGAAAUCAAUUCUUGUUAGCCAGUAGUACAAAACAUAUAUAUAUUUACCAGUUGUAAAAUUAUAUAUAUAUUUUUUUUCUUUUAGCUGUUUUAGCUGUCAAAACAUAUAUAUAUUUACCAGUUGUAAAAUUAUAUAUAUACAUAUAUAUUUUCUUUUAGCUGUUUUUGUGUUUCAGUUUGAUUCUGGGGUACUCACAAAUUAGCAUGGUAUUUUACAACAUUUGCAUGAGGCAACAGAAGUAUGUAAUAUUUAACAAUUCAUAUUUCACUUAAAUUUCUAUACAUGUAGGUAUACAUGUAAUAUCCCUAAAGCAUGAUGUCAGAUAUAAUUAGAUUAAUGCUGAGUGUUAGAAUCGCUAAUAGUUUCAUUUUUAUUAAAAUAUUUAAUGCAUUUAAUUAUAAUUUCCCAAAGUAAAAUUUCAGCAUAAUUUAAAUAUAUUUAAUAUUUUCAUAUGAAAUAUAAUUUGCACCUUGCCCUUCACAUUCAGUAGAUGUUGAAUACUUUAGAAGAAUAUUUUUUGAAAAUGUGCAUGGAUGAUAAUUUUAAUAUUUUUAUUUUUUAAAUUACCUUGAUUAACAUUUUUAUUAAAAAUAUUCAUAUUUUGUACACAUUUAUGAUUGCAUUUUAUUUUUAAUUCUUUUUAAAAAUUUAAAAAUUUAUUUUAUUUAAAAAAAUAUAUUUGUUUUGUUUUGAGAGAGAGAGGCAGAAAAAGAGGAAGACAGAGGAUCUGAAGCAGGCUCUGUGCUGUAGAUGCAAGGCCCAAUGCAGGGCUCGAACUCCCUGAGUGGAAGUCAGAUGCUUAAAUAACUGAGUGACCCAGGUAGAUACUAGGAGUACAAACAUGAAUAAAACAUGGCCUUGAUACUGAAAGAAUUCAUAGUCUAGAAAUAAUUAUACUUCAUCUCGCUCCUGGUGAACUGUACCCAUCUUUUUUUAGAUAUGAAAUCAAUGUAUCCCAGACCAGGCCACAUCCUGGCUACUCUCCCAAGUAAAUCACAGUGAAAAAAAGUGAACUCUGAAGUAUGCAAAACUAGUUGGAGGAAUCAAAUAAAUACAAAUUUGGUGUUUUAUAUUCAGUGUAGCCUUGAUUUUGGAAAAUAUAUGAAAAUUCUACAUAGGAGAGUUGCUAGCUAUUUAUUUAUUUAAUUUAUUUAUUUAUACCUUGGUUUUCUCACUGAAGAACCUAUUACAACUUUUCUAUUUUCACCAUAUAAAAUAAUAUAUUAAGUGCUUUCAAAGACGAUUAGUAUACUUAUCCUUCUCUAAAUCAGCAUCUAAAAAGUUAACAUGUCUCUAUCUGAGAAUUUUAAGACUAACAGCACUAUUGUAUGGACAACUGCAAAGAUGAUGUGAAUUAGUCAGUUUCAUUAAUUUGUUUUAGCAAGGGGUUAAGAGUCUUCCCAAACCAAUAAUUAAGAGAUUUCCAACUACUCUUGAGGUUUACAUUAACUGCUUUGGGGGCUAUCAGUUUUUAGUAGGUAUACUUGUUGAAAUGCCUAGAUGAGUAGAUUUGAUCUGGAAUGAUAGUUCAUAUAUAAUUCAGUAGGACCAGCAAAACUUCCCGUGUCCACUUUCCCAAGUGCCAACCACAUGUGUUUUUCCCUUACUACUCCAAUGUAAGCCUGAAUUCUAGACAUUAUGAAACAUGUUAGCCAGACCCCUACAGGCUUUUAGUAAACAGAAUUGAGUGUAAAUAAUAUUUAUGACUUCGUAGACUACUUGGCCGAAUCCACCUUAAAAGACAGUUUCAUUCUGCUUAUACAGCAAUGUUUCACCAUCUACAGUAGCACACAUGCACAUAUACAAAUUACACUUGGACCAAGCCAAAAGAAGAGACAAAAAUGUAAUUCACCCAGGAAAGAAAUGUAUAAAGGAAGGUGACUAAACUGAGACUUCAUACAACUGUUUAUUUGUCAUAAAACUAUCCGUGAGCUAAGAUAUAAGCAUAAGCAUUAAGUGAAUGACAGUUGUUUUAUUGUAUUUUCAACGUUUUUAGUUGUAUCUUAAAAAAUACCAGAUGCUGUUCACAUGAUGCCAAACAUAUGGCUUUUGCCUGUGCUCUUGUGAUCUGUAGUAGAUUGCUAUAAUGUACAGGGCAGGGAAAAAAAACCGAUUUACAGAUAGCCCUGGCCUGAGUGGCUUACAGCUGGAUCUAAUUUCACCGAACUGAUCGCCUCUCCCUCCAGCACCUUCUAUUUUAUCAAAUGCCACAUAUUGUUUUUUUGAAGUGGUUCUUGUUGUCCUAGUGAAUACCACAGAUGGAUAGCACACAGGACAUUUGGUUGUCUGCUUUCUGACUAAGGUCAGGACCUACUGUUGUUCAUGUUUGGGUGGAGGACGUAUUUCAUGGGACUGCCCAAGAAAUUUAAUGAGUUUCAGCUGUCUAAGAGAUAAUGUAUAAGACAUUGCUCACUUGGUUGACAUACUUAGAGGCCAUUAUAGUCAUCUGGGUUCUUAGGCACUAAUAUGGUUCCUCCCAAGUGUGUCUUUUCUUUGUAUCAGUUACUAAGUUGACAUAUCACCUGGAGAGAUGAUGAAAAGGAUAAGAAGAAGAAUGAAUAAAUGCUAAUAAUUACUCAAUUUAAUUGUGAUUGUCUAUAUACUUUUCUGUCUCUCCUACUAGAUUUUAAGCUUCUUGCGGGAAUAAAAUAUGUCUUGUUCAACAUUUAAUAGUCUGCACAUUAGCCCAAGGGCUGUACACAGUAGGGACUUAAGUAUUUUUUGAAUGAAUAGAUGAAAGAGCAAGCAUUCAAAGAGUUUCUGUAGAUAAUUAUGGAGGAAGAGGAUGAGUAGAAUAUGAAUGGUAAGAUUGUAGAUCUGUGUUUCCUAAUUUUUCUCUAAGCCCUCUCGUUUUAAGAUCCAUCUUUGUUUCUGCUUGUUAUAGGAUCUGUUUCUUUGUAUGUACAUUUGCUACAUUUUACCUAUCACUCCCUAACUGAUGGAUGCCAAGACUGACUCCAUAUCCCUUCCAACACAAAGACUGACUCCAUCUCCCUUCCAACACGGGAUAAUUUCCAGGUAUCUCUACUGCGCCAUGAUAUUAUGAUGUGGGACCAUAUGGGAAACAAUUGCUAUCCACACUUGCAGGUGGGGCUGGUUGUGUUUUAAAAUGUUACUGAAACCAUAGUUUCUGCCCCCUCCCCCACCCCCUUUUUUUAAUGGGAGACUUUUCCAUGAGGUUUCUACCUCCUUGGGCUUCAUUUAGGAAACCAGGCACAGAUUUUCCAAAACCACCUAUAGGGAUUCUCUAGUCUACCACUGCCUUCUCCAGUUAAGUCCACUGAGAGGAGAGUACAUUUCUUUUUGCUCUCUGAAACCCAGCCAUAUCCAACAUAUUCAAACUAGUUUACAUUGUCAGGGCAAUGAAAACUAUAUAUUACAGUUCUGUGUGUAUAGGACAGUCAUCUUCAUGGCUUAGCCUUUUGAGUGCUGUAACACCCCACUAGUAAAUAAAAAUUGGUUUCCCAUAUCUGUUCUUGCCUUCUUAUGAUCCAUUAUCUACAAUGUAGCUAGUUGUUCUUUAAAAAAAAAAUUAAGGACUUAUUAUUUUUUUCAAUUUGUCUUUACAAACUACACAUAACACAAAACUUGCCAUCUUAACACUUUUUAAGUGGAGAGUUCAGUGGUAUUAAAUACAUUCAUAAUGUUCUACAACCAUCACCACCAUCCAUCUUCAUAACAAUUUCAUCUUGUAAAACUAAAACUCCAUACCCUAUGUUUUCUUCUAAGAGUUUUAUAGUUUAGGUCUUACAUUUAGGUUCUUGAUCAUUUUAAAAUAAUUUUUGUAUAUAGUGUUAGCUAAGGGUUCAACUUCAUUCUUUUAUCUGUAGAUAUCCAGUUUUCUAAACACCAUUUGUUGAAAAGACUGUCCUUUAUCUAAUGAAUGCUUUUUGCACCACUGUAAAAAAUCAUUUGACCAAGAGAAGAUAACAGAGUAGGAGGAUCCCAAGCUCCCCUGUCCCAUGCAUACAACUAGUUAACACCCACAUCAGUUAAAUAAUGCAGAAAAUUACCUGAAGACUGGCAGAGCAUAUUCUUCACAGGUAGAUGUAGAGAAAAGUCCACACUGAAGAGGAUAGGAAGGGCAGAGUUGCAGUCGGGAGCCAAAUGAACCCACGGGGUAGUCCAUGAGAGGGAGGUACGUGAAAGGUGUUGGAGAAGGGAGAGGACCAGACCCCCACACCAGGCACUGAGGCACAAAGAGAUGGCACAACAACAACCCUGCUAGGAUACAGCAUAGAGUCAGCAAUUUGGAUAACACCUGGAGUAUAUAGGAAGGAGAUUUAUUUACUAACCUCAGAGCUUGUGCUGGAGGGGCAGAAAGUCUUGGGAGACUUCUUCAAGAACAAAAGAGCUGGCAGGAGACAUUUCCCUCUGCCACCUCCCACCUACAUACACAGACACCUGUGAGACCCAGCAUGACUUGAACACUCUCCACCUAGCUUGCUAACAACAUGCUCUGCCCCCAUGUGCUUCUGCAGAUCCACCCCCUCCAACCCAGCCACCUCUACAGUUUUACCAGGCAGCUAGAGGCUCCCUCACACAGAGGAUCAGCUCUGACCUUGCUAGCAAUGCACAUCCUACUUCCACAUUCCCCUACAGACCUGCUCCUUCUAAUACUCUCCUGGCUAGAGCUCAUCCAAAGUCCCACAAGCCUGGCAGUGUGCCAGCACCCUAACAAGAGCCAGCACCACUCCGAAGUGACCCCUGCCCCAGGAAGAAGGGAAAAUAACCACACACACCAGACCAACUGUGGCCCCAGCAGUGAGCUGGGGGCAGUCAUCUGUUCUGACUGCAGCCCCACCCACCAGUGAAAACUUCUGAGGAGACAACACAGAGAAAGUGCCAUGUAGUUCAGUGCUACUGCAUCUCUGGCAAAUGCCUGAUCUCACCUCAAGCCCAAAGUGACCCCGGACUGGCCCAUUAACAACACAGGGACAAAAGAGGCAAAGAGAAUCAUUGCACACAGCUGGACUAAAGACAUAUGUGCUUCAGCCACAACAGUAGGGUGACACAUAGGAGACACUCUUGCAGUGCCAGUUUCUGGUGAACAGGGGACAUUGCACUUCAGGGUAGCACAGGAUCUCUUGUUCAUAGAGCCACUACUUUCGAGAGCAAGAGACCUGACUUUCCUAAGAAAGAAAUGUGGAAACAUAGUAACAGACACAGAAAAUUACACAAAAUGAGACAGAGGAGUAUGUCCCAAAUGAAAGAACAGGACAAACUCAUAGAAGAGAGCUAAAUAAAAGAAAGAUAAAUACUAUGCCUCAUGGAGAAUUUUAAGCAAUGGUCAUAAAGAUACUUAACUUGAGAAAAGAGUGCAGGACCUCAGUAAGACCCUUAAUAACGAGAAAACGUGAAAAAGAACCAAUCAGACUUGAAGAACUCAAUAACUAGUGUAAUAAAUAUACACUAGAGGUAAUAAAUAGUAGACUAGAGGAAGAAGAAUGGCUUAACGACCUAGAGGACAGAGUAAUGGAAAGCAAUCAAGCUCAAUAGGAAAAAUAAUAAGUAACGAACAUAGGAAACUCAGUGACAUCAUAAAGAGUUAUAGCAUUUACAUUAUAGGGAUCCCAAAAGGAAAAAAGAGAAAGGGGGGCAAAAAUUUUAUUUGAAGAAAUAAUACCUAAAAACUUUCUGAAUCUGGGGGAUGAAACAGAAAUCCAGAUCCAGCAGGCAAAGAGAGCCCCCAACAAGGGGGUCCACACCAAGACACAUAGUAAUUCAAAUGGGAAAAUGUAGUGAGAAAGAGAAUUUUUAAAGCAUCAAGAGAAAAUAAAGCAGUUACAUACAAGGGAAACCCCAUAAGGCUAUCAGCUGAUUUUUCAGCAGAAAUUUUUCAUGCCAGAAAGGAGUCAUAUGAUGUAUUCAAAGUGCUGAAGGAAAAAAAAACCCUACAGCCAGGAAUACUCUAUUCAGCAAGGCUAUUUUUCAGAAUAGAAGGAGAGAUAAAGAAUUGCCCAGAAAAACAAAAGGUAAAGGAAUUCAUGACCACUAAACCAGCUCUACAAGAAAUGUUAAAAGGGAUUCUUUCAAUGGAAUGGAAAGACUGUAAGUAGGAGUAAGAAAAGUUGGAAGCACAAAAACAGUAAAAUGAAGCAUAUCUAUAAAGAUGAGUCAAGGUAUUUACAAAAUAAAAGGAUGUAAAUUAUGACACCAUAAACCUAAAACGUGGGGGUUGGGGAAGAGGAGAAAAGAAUCAGUUCAAACUUAAUGCCCAUCAAUUUAGUAUAGAUUGGUUAUGCACAAGAUGUUAUACAUAAAUCUAAUAGUAACCACAAGUCAAAAACAAGUAAUAAAUAUCAAAAAAUAAAGAGAAAGAAACCCAAGUAUAUCAGUAAAGAAAGCCAGAAAGCCAUGAGAGAAGAGAGCAAUAAAAGAAAGAGAACUAUGAAAACAACCAUAAAACAAAUAAAAAGAUGGCAAUAACUAUAUACCUAUCAAUAAUGACUUUGAAUGUAAAUGGACUAACUGCUCCAUUCAAAAGACGUAAGGUGAUGGAAUAGAUAGAAAAGCAAGACCCAUCUGUACGUUGCCUACAAGAAACUCAUUUCACACCUAAAGACACAUGCAGAUUGAAAGUGAAAGGAUGGAAAAUAAUUUAUCAUGCAAAUGGCAGUGGAAAGAAAGCUAGGGGGUCAAUAUUUAUAUUGGGCAAAAUAGACUGUAAAGCAAAGAGUAACAAGAGACAAAGAAGAAUAAACCAACGAGAUAAUGCAACAAUUAUAAAUAUUUAUGAACCCAACAUGAAAGCACCCAAAUAUGUAAAGCAGCUAAUAACAAACAUUAAAGAAGUAAUUAAUAGUAAUACAAUAAUAGUAGGGGACUUUAACUCUCCACUUACAUCAAUAGAUAGAUCAUCCAAAUAGAAAAUCAACAAGGAAACAGUGGCUUUGAAUGACACAUUGGACCAGAUGGAUCUAGCAGAUAUAUUCAGAACAUUCCAUCCUAAAACAGCAAAAUAUACAUUCUUUUCAAGUGCACAUGGAACAUUCUCCAGAAUAGAUCAUAUGUUAUGCCACAAAACAAAUAUGAAUGAAUUUAAAAAGAUUGAAGUCAUACCAUGCAUCUUUUCCAACCACAGUGCUAUAAACUAGAAAUCAACCAAAAGAAAAAAAUCUGGAAAAAACACAAAUACAUGGAGGUUAAAUAACAUGCUACUAAACAAUGAGUGAAUGGGUCAACAAAGAAAUCAAAGAAGAAAUGAAAAAAAAAUACAUGGAGACAAAUGAAAAUGAAAACACAAUAGUCCAAAAUCUUAGGUAUGCAAUAAAAACUGUUCUAAGAGGCAAGUUUACACUAAAGGAAGUUUACAGUCCUGCCUCAAGAAGCAAGAAAAAUCUCAAAUAAACAACCUAACCUUACACCUACAGGAGCUAGAAAAAGAAAAAAAACAAAACCCAAAACCAGUUAAGGAAGGAAAUAAUAACAAUUAGAACAGAAAGAAAUGAAAUAGAAACUAAACAACAACAGUAAAAACCCCACAAUAGAACAGAUCAAUGAAAUCAGGAGUUUUUUUUUUUUUUUUAAGUUCAUUUACUUAUUUUG